UGUGAGGGAUGGGCUCGGCAUCACAGU
This 27-nucleotide non-coding RNA is filed under the name Homo sapiens (human). Lineage: Eukaryota; Metazoa; Chordata; Mammalia; Primates; Hominidae. The record is from RNAcentral.